UACGGGAGGCAGCAGUGGGGAAUAUUGCACAAUGGGCGCAAGCCUGAUGCAGCCAUGCCGCGUGUAUGAAAAAGGCCUUCGGGUUGUAAAGUACUUUCAGUCGUGAGGAAGGUGUUAAGGUUAAUAACCUUAGCAAUUGACGUUAGCGACAGAAGAAGCACCGGCUAACUCCGUGCCAGUAGCCGCGGUAAUACGGAGGGUGCGAGCGUUAAUCGGAAUUACUGGGCGUAAAGGGCACGCAGGCGGUUAAUUAAGUUGGAUGUGAAAAUCCCCCGGGGCUUAACCUGGGAAUGGCAUUCAAGACUGGUUAGCUAGAGUCUUGUAGAGGGGGGUAGAAUUCCAUGUGUAGCGGUGAAAUGCGUAGAGAUGUGGAGGAAUACCGGUGGCGAAAGGCGGCCCCUGGACAAAGACUGACGCUCAUGUGCGAAAGCGUGGGGAGCAAAACAGGGAUUAGAUACC
This 459-nucleotide ribosomal RNA is filed under the name uncultured bacterium. RNAcentral describes it as "bacterial SSU rRNA". It matches the Rfam family "Bacterial small subunit ribosomal RNA", at positions 340 to 786 of the family's 1533-position model. The record is from RNAcentral.